GCCUUGGUGGUGAAAUGGUAUACAUGUGAGAUUAAAAAUCUCAUGUUAAUGAGACUGGAGGUUCGAGUCCUCUUCAAGGCA
Molecule: non-coding RNA, 81 nt
Organism: Datura stramonium (jimsonweed)
Lineage: Eukaryota; Viridiplantae; Streptophyta; Magnoliopsida; Solanales; Solanaceae
Source: the annotation of a GenBank genome assembly